RNAcentral lists this transfer RNA (73 nucleotides) under Bos taurus (domestic cattle). It matches the Rfam family "tRNA". From Rfam's summary of the family: Transfer RNA (tRNA) molecules are approximately 80 nucleotides in length. Lineage: Eukaryota; Metazoa; Chordata; Mammalia; Artiodactyla; Bovidae. The record is from Rfam by way of RNAcentral. RNAcentral also lists the same sequence under 2 other names.
UCACUGAUGGUUCAGUGGUUAAGACACUGCGUUUCCAAGGCAGGGGACACAGGUUCGACUCCCGGUUGGGGAA